Molecule: small RNA, 193 nt
Filed under: bovine gut metagenome
Also listed under: 1 other name
Description: Bacteroidales-1 6S-Bacteroidales RNA suggested
Rfam family: Bacteroidales-1 6S-Bacteroidales RNA suggested
Source: RNAcentral
GAUAGAUCGGGAUACUCAUCAAAUUACAUCAGAAAACCGGGAAUGCGAUUCAGUUAAUGGCGGGCCACGCCUCCCUGUCGCCAGGUCUUCGAGCCUGGAGUUUCGGCGGGCAUAGGUAACUCUUCGAGUCGGUGGAUUACAAAGGCUGAACCUGCGCUCAAAACCUAUAAGCUCGGAGUUUCAUCACAUCGCC